CAGAGGCAUAUAGGGGGGCAUGUGAUCCCCAGAUUUGUGAGCAGGGCAGAUACAGGCUGCUUGCUGCAGGCUCAGGGCUGCAUGCCCUGCUGCCCUUCCCUCAGGAGCCUCAAGCUAUCGUGGCGAGGUGCCCCCUGCUUGCCUGGCAGCAGCGUGGUGUUGUGCCCCCACUGCUGCUGAGUGAGCAGGGGCCAUGCAGCAGGGCUUCCAGGCCCCCGCCCCACUCAGCUCUGCUCUGGCCUUGCCCCGGGGGCAGGGGUGGGGAGCAGGAGGAGGUGGCUGUGUGUCCCACAUUUCGAUUUUUAAAAGGUGGCCACCCUAGCUGCAGUCCCUGCCCCCUGUGACUGCCCCAGGAAGGCAGCUGGUAUGAGCUUCCGUCGGGGCAUGGGCGGAUCUAGGAUUUUGAAAGAGGGGUGCCCAUGGCAAGGGGCAUUGUCACAGGGGACACAACGCACAUUUUUCUGCAGGUAAGAAGAAACUAGAAGUUUUACUCGUACCCUGGGGCUGCGGUACUCAGGUUAAGGAAAAGCAAAAACACACCUAACUCCACUGGAAUGAGUUAGAAACAAUCUGCAGGGCUGCAACAUUCACUGGCGAGUGAGUGGCGUGAGAACAACUUCGCACGUCCAGCCAGAGAGCUACGUUUAUUGCAAUAUUGCAAUGAAUGGUGUGAGAAUCCCUUUGCACACACAGCCAAGACCGCAUCUACGCCACCAUUCGCCACUCAACUGCGUGAUACGAGUCACCUGUGGCGGGGCCUCGCAGCACGGCAGAGCCAGGGCGGGCACGUGACGACCUCCCCAUCCCCACACCUGACUGCACACCAGGCCGGGCCUUCGGAAAGAGCAGGAGCAGGUGCUGAUUGGCUGGAGCCCUCUUCCUGCGCACGGGAUUGGUGUAGGCCAAGGGGCGGGAGACGUCAUUCACGCUCGCGGCUGCGCAGUAGGAGGGUUGGGUGGACUGCACAUCCCGGCAUUCUCGGCGCAGGAGCCGCUGUUCCACAAUGCCGCGCGCGGCGGGGCGAGAGAGCGGCCGGAUGCGGGGUCGGGCUGGGCGGCGGGGGUGGCCCGCGGGGCCGG
This 1079-nucleotide long non-coding RNA is filed under the name Crocodylus porosus (Australian saltwater crocodile). Its description in RNAcentral is "lncRNA (ENSCPRG00005012235.1)". The record is from RNAcentral. Lineage: Eukaryota; Metazoa; Chordata; Crocodylia; Crocodylidae.